RNAcentral lists this ribosomal RNA (200 nucleotides) under uncultured bacterium. Its description in RNAcentral is "partial 16S ribosomal RNA". It matches the Rfam family "Bacterial small subunit ribosomal RNA", at positions 28 to 239 of the family's 1533-position model. The record is from RNAcentral.
GAUGAACGCUGGCGGCGUACCUAACGCAUGCAAGUCGGACGGGGCUUGGGAGCAAUCUUGAUCCGAGUGGCAAACGGGUGAGUAACACGUGGGUAACCUACCCUCGAGUGGGGAAUAACGCUCCGAAAGGGGCGCUAAGGCCGCAUGAACUCGGGAGAGCAAAGCCCCGUAAGGAGUGCUCGGGGAGGGGCCUGCGGCCC